AUGCGUCUUCUUGCUCCAGCAUUCAAGUUCCAUUUCAAGGGAGGACGACGUACCAUGAUACUUUCUGUUUUGUCGAGCCCUGCUUUGGUCUCUGGUUUGAUGGUUGUACGUGCUAAAAAUCCGGUACAUUCCGUUUUGUUUCCCAUCCUAGUCUUUUGCGACACUUCUGGUUUACUUAUUUUGUUAGGUCUCGACUUCUCCGCUAUGAUCUCCCCAGUAGUUCAUAUAGGAGCUAUUGCCGUUUCAUUCCUAUUCGUGGUUAUGAUGUUCAAUAUUCAAAUAGCGGAGAUUCACGAAGAAGUAUUGCGCUAUUUACCAGUGAGUGGUAUUAUUGGACUGAUCUUUUGGUGGGAAAUGUUCUUCAUUUAG
RNAcentral lists this ribosomal RNA (369 nucleotides) under Triticum aestivum (bread wheat). Its description in RNAcentral is "partial small subunit ribosomal RNA". Lineage: Eukaryota; Viridiplantae; Streptophyta; Magnoliopsida; Poales; Poaceae. The record is from RNAcentral.